RNAcentral lists this transfer RNA (71 nucleotides) under Loxodonta africana (African savanna elephant). It matches the Rfam family "tRNA". Rfam says of the family: Transfer RNA (tRNA) molecules are approximately 80 nucleotides in length. Their secondary structure includes four short double-helical elements and three loops (D, anti-codon, and T loops). The record is from Rfam by way of RNAcentral. Lineage: Eukaryota; Metazoa; Chordata; Mammalia; Proboscidea; Elephantidae.
ACAUUGAUGGUUCAGUGGUAGAAUUUUUGCCUUUCACGUGGGAGACCUGGGUUCCAUUCCCAGCCGAUACA